AAUCAUUUUAUACUUAAUUGCCAUAUGCUAGAAAUAAAAAAAAAAUCAUAAGUUUUUCGUGGCACCUUCUCGAGCUGCUCGUUAGUGGGAAACUGAUGGAAGGUGAAGUUGCCGACCUCUUCUAUCCUCUACGAGCAACAACUCCUUCUCUAGUGCGCCGCCUCCGUGAGCAGCAACAACUCCUCCUCUGGCACACCGCCUCUUGGUAACAACAACUCCUCUUGCAGCGCUGCCUCCGCGAGCAACAAAAUCUUCUUUGACAACACCACCCCCAUGAGAGGCAACACCUUCUACGACGCAAAACAACAACAAAUCAAAAGGUGGCAAAGGGCGUGGGCCCAUAGGCCGCAAUCGACGAUGAAUUGAGGAGGCGACUCAAGCCCGGUGUGUCAUGCCCGUGUACGCCAGACGGCGAAGAUGAAGGUGUAGGAGGCGAAGUUGCCAUGCGUGUCGCAUGUUGGAUCUAAUCCGUUUUCUUGCUUCUACACCUCUCGCACGAUGAUGAAUGGGAUCUUCACCAGCGUCGUCGAUAUGGUGUAUGAGCUCCUCCUCCUUUCGUGCGACAAUGAAGAGCUACACCGCUAACUGUCGUGAGCACUGCCGCGCGCCGCUGCGACGUCGCCAUGGCUGCCGCCUGUCACAUCCAUCCCAUAUCCUCCCCCCGCACGGUGGCAAAUGGGAUCAUUGCCGGCGUCGUUGAUGUGUUGUACUAGGUCCUCCUCUUCUUGCAUGACAACGAAAGUGAGCGUCGCGAGUGUCGUCAUGUGGGUAACCGCAACGAUGGGAGCGAGUGGAGUGUGCGACUCACUAGUAAGUAAGUCAAUAAGGUUCCAUAUGGUAGGCGCUCGUGAUGAAGCCCAGAUUAAUCUUUGAAGAUGUCAUGGUUAGACCAGCUUUGUUCCAUGAUUCGUGUACGAAUGAUACGAAACUUCAAAAAUCCGAUAUCAGAUUUUUAGCAUUUAGAAAGAAAAAAGUACUUAGCAAUGCAGAAGAUAUAUUGAGUAUUAUGUG
RNAcentral lists this long non-coding RNA (1011 nucleotides) under Hordeum vulgare. Its description in RNAcentral is "long non-coding RNA (HVUL_LNC012881)". The record is from RNAcentral. Lineage: Eukaryota; Viridiplantae; Streptophyta; Magnoliopsida; Poales; Poaceae.